GGCAGCAGUGGGGAAUAUUGGACAAUGGGCGAAAGCCUGAUCCAGCCAUGCCGCGUGUGUGAAGAAGGUCUUCGGAUUGUAAAGCACUUUAAGUUGGGAGGAAGGGCAUUAACCUAAUACGUUAGUGUUUUGACGUUACCGACAGAAUAAGCACCGGCUAACUCUGUGCCAGCAGCCGCGGUAAUACAGAGGGUGCAAGCGUUAAUCGGAAUUACUGGGCGUAAAGCGCGCGUAGGUGGUUUGUUAAGUUGGAUGUGAAAUCCCCGGGCUCAACCUGGGAACUGCAUUCAAAACUGACAAGCUAGAGUAUGGUAGAGGGUGGUGGAAUUUCCUGUGUAGCGGUGAAAUGCGUAGAUAUAGGAAGCAACACCAGKGCGAAGGCGACCA
This 387-nucleotide ribosomal RNA is filed under the name Pseudomonas sp. enrichment culture. RNAcentral describes it as "bacterial SSU rRNA". It matches the Rfam family "Bacterial small subunit ribosomal RNA", at positions 347 to 727 of the family's 1533-position model. Lineage: Bacteria; Pseudomonadati; Pseudomonadota; Gammaproteobacteria; Pseudomonadales; Pseudomonadaceae. The record is from RNAcentral.